AAGUUCUCCAGAAUUUGAAUGGGAUAGUCUUGACGACCUUUCGGAUUUUUCAGACGCAGAGAGCUGUCUCCAAAAUGAGGAAUCUGUGCCUGAGACAAAAAUGAUGCAGUUAGUGGCUAUGGGAUUCUCCAUCGGCGAAGUUUCAGCUGCCAUCAACUCAUCUGAUCCAGAUACCUCUAUUGCAGAUCUUAUGGAU
Papaver somniferum (opium poppy) is the source of this 196-nucleotide long non-coding RNA. RefSeq lists it as uncharacterized. The transcript has 3 exons. Lineage: Eukaryota; Viridiplantae; Streptophyta; Magnoliopsida; Ranunculales; Papaveraceae. The record is from RefSeq and is a predicted model, not a curated record.